UAAGUUGGGGUAACGCGAAGAAACCUUACCGGGUCUUGACAUUUUUUGCCAGGCUGAGAGAUCAGCUUUUCCCUUCGGGGACAGAAUAACAGGUGGUGCAUGGUUGUCGUCAGCUCGUGUCGUGAGAUGUUGGGUUAAGUCCCGCAACGAGCGCAACCCUUAUGAUCAGUUGCCAGCAUUCAGUUGGGCACUCUGGUCAGACUGCCGGUGACAAACCGGAGGAAGGCGGGGAUGACGUCAAAUCAUCAUGCCCCUUAUGACCUGGGCUACACACGUGCUACAAUGGGUGGUACAACGAGCAGCGAGACCGCGAGGUCAAGCGAAUCUCUAAAAACCAUCCUCAGUUCGGAUUGCAGGCUGCAACUCGCCUGCAUGAAGCUGGAAUCGCUAGUAAUCGCGGAUCAGC
This 406-nucleotide ribosomal RNA is filed under the name uncultured bacterium. RNAcentral describes it as "bacterial SSU rRNA". It matches the Rfam family "Bacterial small subunit ribosomal RNA", at positions 947 to 1353 of the family's 1533-position model. The record is from RNAcentral.